CCUACGGGUGGCUGCAGUGGGGAAUAGUGCACAAUGGGGGAAACCCUGAUGCAGCGACGCCGCGUGAGCGAUGAAGGAUGUCGGGAGGGAAAGCGCUAUCAGCAGGGAAGAAGAUGACGGUACCUGACUAAGAAGCCCCGGCGAACUACGUGCCAGCAGCCGCGGUAAUACGGAGGGGGCAAGCGUUAUCCGGAUUUACUGGGUGUAAAGGGAGCGUAGACGGCGCUGCAAGCCAGAUGUGAAAGCCCGGGGCUCCACCCCGUGCCUGCAUUUGGAACUGUGUGGCUGGAGUGUCGGAGUGGCAGGCGGAAUUCCUCGUGUAGCGGUGACAUGCGUAGAUAUUAGGCGGAACCCCAGUGGCGCCGGCGGCCUGCUGGACGCUGCCUGCCGUUGAGGCUCGAACGCGUGUGGAGCAAACAGGCUUCGAUACCCGGGUAGUC
RNAcentral lists this ribosomal RNA (440 nucleotides) under uncultured bacterium. RNAcentral describes it as "partial 16S ribosomal RNA". It matches the Rfam family "Bacterial small subunit ribosomal RNA", at positions 338 to 795 of the family's 1533-position model. The record is from RNAcentral.